This 538-nucleotide ribosomal RNA is filed under the name Hanseniaspora uvarum. RNAcentral describes it as "eukaryotic LSU rRNA". It matches the Rfam family "Eukaryotic large subunit ribosomal RNA", at positions 86 to 654 of the family's 3401-position model. The record is from RNAcentral. Lineage: Eukaryota; Fungi; Ascomycota; Saccharomycetes; Saccharomycodales; Saccharomycodaceae.
ACGGCGAGUGAAGCGGUAAAAGCUCAAAUUUGAAAUCUGGUACUUUCAGUGCCCGAGUUGUAAUUUGUAGAAUUUGUCUUUGAUUAGGUCCUUGUCUAUGUUCCUUGGAACAGGACGUCAUAGAGGGUGAGAAUCCCGUUUGGCGAGGAUACCUUUUCUAAGAGUCGAGUUGUUUGGGAAUGCAGCUCAAAGUGGGUGGUAAAUUCCAUCUAAAGCUAAAUAUUGGCGAGAGACCGAUAGCGAACAAGUACAGUGAUGGAAAGAUGAAAAGAACUUUGAAAAGAGAGUGAAAAAGUACGUGAAAUUGUUGAAAGGGAAGGGCAUUUGAUCAGACAUGGUGUUUUUUGCAUGCACUCGCCUCUCGUGGGCUUGGGCCUCUCAAAAAUUUCACUGGGCCAACAUCAAUUCUGGCAGCAGGAUAAAUCAUUAAGAAUGUAGCUACUUCGGUAGUGUUAUAGCUUUUUGGAAUACUGUUAGCCGGGAUUGAGGACUGCGCUUCGGCAAGGAUGUUGGCAUAAUGGUUAAAUGCCGCCCGUCU